This 332-nucleotide ribosomal RNA is filed under the name uncultured bacterium. Its description in RNAcentral is "bacterial SSU rRNA". It matches the Rfam family "Bacterial small subunit ribosomal RNA", at positions 8 to 334 of the family's 1533-position model. The record is from RNAcentral.
AGGGUUUGAUUAUGGCUCAGGAUGAACGCUAGCGACAGGCUUAACACAUGCAAGUCGAGGGGCAGCGAGGGAGUGGCAACACUUCUGUCGGCGACCGGCGCACGGGUGAGUAACGCGUAUGCAACCUGCCCUUCACAGGGGGAUAACCGGGAGAAAUUCCGACUAAUACCGCAUACGUCCUCCGGGGGCAUCCCCGGGGGAUGAAAGAAUUAUCGGUGAAGGAUGGGCAUGCGUGAUAUUAGGUAGUUGGCGGGGCAACGGCCCACCAAGCCCACGAUAUCUAGGGGUUCUGAGAGGAAGGUCCCCCACAUUGGUACUGAGACACGGACCAA